GACGAACGCUGGCGGCGUGCUUAACACAUGCAAGUCGAACGGAAAGGCCCUGCUUUUGUGGGGUGCUCGAGUGGCGAACGGGUGAGUAACACGUGAGUAACCUGCCCUUGACUUUGGGAUAACUUCAGGAAACUGGGGCUAAUACCGGAUAGGAGCUCCUGCUGCAUGGUGGGGGUUGGAAAGUUUCGGCGGUUGGGGAUGGACUGGCGGGUUAUCCGCUUGUUGGUGGGGUAGUGGCUUACCAAGGCUUUGACGGGUAGCCUGCCCGAGAGGGUUACCGGCCACAUUGGGACUGAGAUACGGACCAGACGCCUACGGGAGGCAGCAGUGGGGAAUAUUGCACAAUGGGCGGAAGCCUGAUGCAGCAACGCCGCGUGCGGGAUGACGGCCUUCGGGUUGUAAACCGCUUUCGCCUGUGACGAAGCGUGAGUGACGGUAAUGGGUAAAGAAGCACCGGCUAACUACGUG
Molecule: ribosomal RNA, 468 nt
Filed under: uncultured bacterium
Lineage: Bacteria
Description: partial 16S ribosomal RNA
Rfam family: Bacterial small subunit ribosomal RNA
Source: RNAcentral